Molecule: ribosomal RNA, 567 nt
Filed under: uncultured bacterium
Lineage: Bacteria
Description: partial 16S ribosomal RNA
Rfam family: Bacterial small subunit ribosomal RNA
Source: RNAcentral
UGGUGAAUAUUGCACAAUGGGCGCAAGCCUGAUGCAGCCAUGCCGCGUGUGUGAAGAAGGCCUUCGGGUUGUAAAGCACUUUCAGCGAGGAGGAAGGUGGUGGACUUAAUACGUUCAUCAAUUGACGUUACUCGCAGAAGAAGCACCGGCUAACUCCGUGCCAGCAGCCGCGGUAAUACGGAGGGUGCAAGCGUUAAUCGGAAUUACUGGGCGUAAAGCGCACGCAGGCGGUUUGUUAAGUCAGAUGUGAAAUCCCCGGGCUCAACCUGGGAACUGCAUUUGAAACUGGCAAGCUAGAGUCUCGUAGAGGGGGGUAGAAUUCCAGGUGUAGCGGUGAAAUGCGUAGAGAUCUGGAGGAAUACCGGUGGCGAAGGCGGCCCCCUGGACGAAGACUGACGCUCAGGUGCGAAAGCGUGGGGAGCAAACAGAUUAGAUACCCUGGUAGUCCACGCUGUAAAACGAUGUCGAUUUUGGAGGUUGUGCCCCUUGAGGCGUGGNUUCCGGAGCUAACGCGUUAAAUCGACCGCCUGGGGAGUACGGCCNCAAGGUUAAAACUAAAGGAAUUGC